UACGUAGGGUGCGAGCGUUAAUCGGAAUUACUGGGCGUAAAGCGUGCGCAGGCGGUUUUGUAAGCCAGAUGUGAAAGCCCCGGGCUUAACCUGGGAAUGGCAUUUGGGACUGCAGGGCUGGAGUGUGGCAGAGGAGACUGGAAUUCCUGGUGUAGCAGUGAAAUGCGUAGAUAUCAGGAGGAAUACCGAUGGCGAAGGCAGGUCUCUGGGCUGACACUGACGCUCAUGCACGAAAGCGUGGGGAGCAAACAGG
RNAcentral lists this ribosomal RNA (253 nucleotides) under uncultured bacterium. Its description in RNAcentral is "partial 16S ribosomal RNA". It matches the Rfam family "Bacterial small subunit ribosomal RNA", at positions 524 to 776 of the family's 1533-position model. The record is from RNAcentral.